ACGAGGCGCUGCAUUAACAUGCAGUCGACGGCAGCAUGAUCUAGCUUGCUAGAUUGAUGGCGAGUGGCGAACGGGUGAGUAAUACAUCGGAACGUGCCCUGUAGUGGGGGAUAACUAGUCGAAAGAUUAGCUAAUACCGCAUACGACCUGAGGGUGAAAGUGGGGGACCGCAAGGCCUCAUGCUAUAGGAGCGGCCGAUGUCUGAUUAGCUAGUUGGUGAGGUAAAGGCUCACCAAGGCGACGAUCAGUAGCUGGUCUGAGAGGCGUUCAGCUCUCCUGGGACUGAGACACGGCCCAGACUCAUACGGGAGGCAGCAGUGGGGAAUUUUGGACAAUGGGCGAAAGCCUGAUCCAGCAAUGCCGCGUGUGUGAAGAAGGCCUUCGGGUUGUAAAGCACUUUUGUCCGGAAAGAAAUGGCUCUGGUUAAUACCUGGGGUCGAUGACGGUACCGGAAGAAUAAGGACCGGCUAACUACGUGCCAGCAGCCGCGGUAAUACGUAGGGUCCAAGCGUUAAUCGGAAUUACUGGGCGUAAAGCGUGCGCAGGCGGUUGUGCAAGACCGAUGUGAAAUCCCCGAGCUUAACUUGGGAAUUGCAUUGGUGACUGCACGGCUAGAGUGUGUCAGAGGGGGGUAGAAUUCCACGUGUAGCAGUGAAAUGCGUAGAGAUGUGGAGGAAUACCGAUGGCGAAGGCAGCCCCCUGGGAUAACACUGACGCUCAUGCACGAAAGCGUGGGGAGCAAACAGGAUUAGAUACCCUGGUAGUCCACGCCCUAAACGAUGUCAACUAGUUGUUGGGGAUUCAUUUCCUUAGUAACGUAGCUAACGCGUGAAGUUGACCGCCUGGGGAGUACGGUCGCAAGAUUAAAUAGAAAAUUUUUUUGUGGGAGGA
This 891-nucleotide ribosomal RNA is filed under the name Ralstonia sp. Its description in RNAcentral is "bacterial SSU rRNA". It matches the Rfam family "Bacterial small subunit ribosomal RNA", at positions 37 to 921 of the family's 1533-position model. The record is from RNAcentral. Lineage: Bacteria; Pseudomonadati; Pseudomonadota; Betaproteobacteria; Burkholderiales; Burkholderiaceae.